AUUGAAAUGUAUUUUGGUGAUAAUUAAGCAUUUGCAAUUUGAAUAAUUUGGAUUUUUUGGUGGAUCGUAAUGGGUUAUUUGAAUUCGGUGUUGUCAUCUUCUUCUAAUCAAAUUCAUGCUGAUGAUGCGCCUGUUAGUGGCGGUGGAUUAAGUCAAAAUGGGAAGUUUAGCUAUGGAUAUUCUAGCUCCCCGGGAAAAAGGUCCUCCAUGGAGGAUUUCUAUGAGACAAGAAUUGAUGGCGUUGAUGGAGAGGUAGUUGGUCUCUUUGGAGUUUUUGAUGGUCAUGGA
RNAcentral lists this unclassified non-coding RNA (288 nucleotides) under Hevea brasiliensis (rubber tree). Lineage: Eukaryota; Viridiplantae; Streptophyta; Magnoliopsida; Malpighiales; Euphorbiaceae. The record is from RNAcentral.